CAGGACGUCCUCUAAAGCAACUUCCGUGGGUGCCAGGUUAUGGGCUGGGGGCGGUGCUGACCUUGAGAGAGCGGAGGAGGCGCAGGCGCAGCACAGGUGGCAAUUGAAGCCGGAAGAACAUCUACCAAGAGCAGAGAACCCAGGAAGAAAAUUCUGCCUCUUUAAUACGUCCCAAUUUGGACGUUUUCCAUAUAGAUACCUAUCUAUAUAGAUAGAUGCUCU
Molecule: long non-coding RNA, 222 nt
Filed under: Pan troglodytes (chimpanzee)
Lineage: Eukaryota; Metazoa; Chordata; Mammalia; Primates; Hominidae
Description: long non-coding RNA NONPTRT014021
Source: RNAcentral